RNAcentral lists this ribosomal RNA (1388 nucleotides) under uncultured bacterium. Its description in RNAcentral is "16S ribosomal RNA". It matches the Rfam family "Bacterial small subunit ribosomal RNA". The record is from RNAcentral.
UUCGCCCUUAGAGUUUGAUCCUGGCUCAGGACGAACGCUGGCGGCGCGCCUAACACAUGCAAGUCGAACGGAGCUGAGAGGAGCUUGCUUUUCUUAGCUUAGUGGCGAACGGGUGAGUAACGCGUGAGUAACCUGCCCUGGAGUGGGGGACAACAGUUGGAAACGACUGCUAAUACCGCAUAAGCCCACGGCCCGGCAUCGGGCUGAGGGAAAAGGAUUUAUUCGCUUCAGGAUGGACUCGCGUCCAAUUAGCUAGUUGGUGGGGUAACGGCCUACCAAGUCGACGAUCAGUAGCCGGACUGAGAGGUUGAACGGCCACAUUGGGACUGAGACACGGCCCAGACUCCUACGGGAGGCAGCAGUGGGGAAUAUUGCACAAUGGGGGAAACCCUGAUGCAGCAACCCCGCGUGAAGGAAGACGGUUUUCGGAUUGUAAACUUCUGUUCUUAGUGAAGAAUAAUGACGGUAGCUAAGGAGCAAGCCACGGCUAACUACGUGCCAGCAGCCGCGGUAAUACGUAGGUGGCAAGCGUUGUCCGGAAUUACUGGGUGUAAAGGGAGCGUAGGCGGGAUGCCACAGACACUGUGAAAACUAUGGGUUUAACUUGUAGACUGCAGGUGAAACUGGUAUUCUUGAGUGAAGUAGAGGUUGGCGGGAAUUUCGAGUGUAGGGGUGAAAAUGCGUAGAUAUUAGGAGGAACACCGGUGGCGAAGGCGGCCAACUGGGCUUUAACUGACGCUGAGGCUCGAAAGUGUGGGGAGCAAACAGGAUUAGAUACCCUGGUAGUCCACACUGUAAACGAUGAUAACUAGGUGUGGGGGGUCUGACCCCUUCCGUGCCGCAGCUAACGCAAUAAGUUAUCCACCUGGGGAGUACGACCGCAAGGUUGAAACUCAAAGGAAUUGACGGGGACCCGCACAAGCAGUGGAUUAUGUGGUUUAAUUCGAAGCAACGCGAAGAACCUUACCAGCACUUGACAUCCGACUAACGAAGUAGAGAUACAUUAGGUGCCCUUCGGGGAAAGUCGAGACAGGUGGUGCAUGGUUGUCGUCAGCUCGUGUCGUGAGAUGUUGGGUUAAGUCCCGCAACGAGCGCAACCCCUGCCAUUAGUUGCUACGCAAGAGCACUCUAAUGGGACCGCUACCGACAAGGUGGAGGAAGGUGGGGACGACGUCAAAUCAUCAUGCCCCUUAUGUGCUGGGCUACACACGUAAUACAAUGGCCAUCAACAAAGAGAAGCAAUACCGCGAGGUGGAGCAAAACUAUAAAAAUGGUCUCAGUUCGGACUGCAGGCUGCAACCCGCCUGCACGAAGUUGGAAUUGCUAGUAAUCGUGGAUCAGCAUGCCACGGUGAAUACGUUCCCGGGUCUUGCACUCACCGCCCGUCA